This 497-nucleotide ribosomal RNA is filed under the name uncultured bacterium. RNAcentral describes it as "partial 16S ribosomal RNA". It matches the Rfam family "Bacterial small subunit ribosomal RNA", at positions 28 to 507 of the family's 1533-position model. The record is from RNAcentral.
GACGAACGCUGGCGGCGUGCCUAAUACAUGCAAGUUGAGCGAUGAAGAUUGGUGCUUGCACCAAUUUGAAGAGCAGCGAACGGGUGAGUAACGCGUGGGGAAUCUGCCUUUGAGCGGGGGACAACAUUUGGAAACGAAUGCUAAUACCGCAUAACAACUUUAAACAUAAGUUUUAAGUUUGAAAGAUGCAAUUGCAUCACUCAAAGAUGAUCCCGCGUUGUAUUAGCUAGUUGGUGAGGUAAAGGCUCACCAAGGCGAUGAUACAUAGCCGACCUGAGAGGGUGAUCGGCCACAUUGGGACUGAGACACGGCCCAAACUCCUACGGGAGGCAGCAGUAGGGAAUCUUCGGCAACGGACGAAAGUCUGACCGAGCAACGCCGCGUGAGUGAAGAAGGUUGUCGGAUCGUAAAACUCUGUUGGUAGAGAAGAACGUUGGUGAGAGUGGAAAGCUCAUCAAGUGACGGUAACUACACAGAAAGGGACGGCUAACUACGUG